Molecule: ribosomal RNA, 446 nt
Filed under: uncultured prokaryote
Description: bacterial SSU rRNA
Rfam family: Bacterial small subunit ribosomal RNA
Source: RNAcentral
UCGAGAAUCUUCGGCAAUGGACGAAAGUCUGACCGAGCGACGCCGCGUGCGGGAUGAAGGCCCUCGGGUUGUAAACCGCUGUCAGUUGGAAGGAAAUCCAUGAGGGUUCUCUCUCAUGGUUGACCGAUCUUCAGAGGAAGGACGGGCUAAGUUCGUGCCAGCAGCCGCGGUAAGACGAACCGUCCAAACGUUAUUCGGUAUCACUGGGCUUAAAGCGUGCGUAGGCGGCUUGGUAGGUGAGAUGUGAAAGCCCACGGCUCAACCGUGGAAUUGCGUUUCAAACCCCCAAGCUCGAGGAAGAUAGGGGUGAUGGGAACUUAUGGUGGAGCGGUGAAAUGCGUUGAUAUCAUAGGGAACACCGGUGGCGAAAGCGCAUCACUGGAUCUUUUCUGACGCUGAGGCACGAAAGCUAGGGUAGCGAACGGGAUUAGAUACCCCCGUAGUCC